Molecule: ribosomal RNA, 206 nt
Filed under: uncultured bacterium
Lineage: Bacteria
Description: partial 16S ribosomal RNA
Rfam family: Bacterial small subunit ribosomal RNA
Source: RNAcentral
CGCGUAGGCGGCUUUAUAAGUCUGGAGUGAAAGUCCUCUUUUCAAGGGAGGAAUUGCUUUGGAAACUAUAGAGCUUGAGUGCAGGAGAGGUUAUCGGAAUUCCCGGUGUAGCGGUGAAAUGCGUAGAUAUCGGGAGGAACAUCGGUGGCGAAGGCGGGUAACUGGACUGCAACUGACGCUGAGGCGCGAAAGUGUGGGGAGCAAAC